Molecule: long non-coding RNA, 1410 nt
Organism: Alosa alosa (allis shad)
Lineage: Eukaryota; Metazoa; Chordata; Actinopteri; Clupeiformes; Clupeidae
Exons: 4
Source: RefSeq, a predicted model, not a curated record
UUCAAAACUUUAGAAUACAUACAAGGUGACAAGCAGUUGUGGUCACAUAUUUCUAGUUGGGCUAUCACAAAUGAGCAUGUAUCAUUUGAGAUAAGAAGAACUUCAGGGCAAAUUAUGAAGACAUUCGCAGAGUAAAAUCAAAUAUAAGAGCAACCUUGUCACCAGUGGAGUCUGUCCACAUCUUCAUCUGGGCCCAUCAUCUUGACAAGCACUAAGCUGUAAAGUCAGAGUGGAGAAUAAAUGCAUGGACCCGAGACUCUCUCAAGGACUUAUAUGGCAAGCUCAUCAGUCUUCCCAGUUCAGGGGCUUCUAUCCUUCAGAUGCAGUCUGCAGAAAGGAGUCAGCACCCCAUAAAACAUGCCAGUGAUUUGCAUCUAGUCUUCCUGACAGAUUAAGCAGCUCCUGUUAGCUGCCUACCACCCUGGCAAAAAAAAAAGUCCUUACAUCCUGGUGCUUUCUUAGAAGUAAAGUGCAGUGUCGCCGUCACAUGGGACAUCCUUCCUUCAUUAUCGACAUUGAUCUAGGGACACGGCAAGGCCCUGGACAGCAGGAGUUGACGGAGGCCCCAGGGAAAUAUAGGGUCCCCGCUGAACCGACAUCACAGUCCUGCCAGUCAGCAUCAGCAUCCUGGGUGACCCUUCACAGGUGUGGAGCUGAAUGAGAACGAGUUGCUGUUUGGAAAACGGGCAUCACGCCAUUACGUGCCCACGUCUGUGCCAAGAGAAGGCUGGCUAAAUCUCAAAAGGGACAAUGGAAUGGAGGGAACCCACACUGGUGAAGACUGAGAUAUGAAUAACCCAAGUGGGGAUCUCGUUCGAAAGUUCCAACUCCUGUCUUCUCUGUGCAGCCUCCAGUAUAAGCCCUGGAGCUCUCGUCCUCUUCCCCUUCCCCUUCCACUCUCCAUUCUGGGACGCCGAGGAUGAUCCUCGCUGCUUAUCAUCCGCAUCUAGAGUCUGCGGUGGGAGGUGUAGCAAGGCUUAUCAACCCAUCAGACUCUGCCAGUUCCGCUGCCGGGGUUGUGUCCCCGGCUGCUCUCCAGCCUUGGCAGCUGUCCUGAGAGUUUGUGGAGUGAGAGAGGCUACAGAGAGACGCUGUCGACUUGAGAAACGUGUUUUGGAAGUGGCCGUUUAGCCAUCGUGGCCGCUGACACGGCCACCGCACGCACGCAUGACCGCUCGCUCGAGUUGGGUUGCUUUCACUUCUGGCAACGCGGAGAGGGCUGGUUCUCACCCACCAUACUAUCUAAAUGAUAAGGUCAGAGCAAAUUGGCAGAACAUAUUGCCUGAGAUGACAUUCAGGAAUCAAAGUGAAAGUCAAAAGAGACGGAACGCAAAUACAUUUGACAAGCGGAGUGUUGACACUCCUCAGCAAAUGGAGAGAUAUAGAGAAAGAGAGAACGAGAGAUAGAGA